GACGAACGCUGGCGGCGUGCCUAACACAUGCAAGUCGAACGGAGAUAUAAUUUCGGUUAUAUCUUAGUGGCGAACGGGUGAGUAACGCGUGAGCAACCUGACCUUCAGAGGGGGAUAACACUUGGAAACAGGUGCUAAUACCGCAUAAGACCACGACCCGACAUCGGGAUGAGGUCAAAGGAGCAAUCCGCUGAGGGAGGGGCUCGCGUCCCAUUAGAUAGAUGGCGGGGUAACGGCCCACCAUGUCGACGAUGGGUAGCCGAGCUGAGAGGCUGAUCGGCCACACUGGAACUGAGACACGGUCCAGACUCCUACGGGAGGCAGCAGUGGGGAAUAUUGGGCAAUGGGCGCAAGCCUGACCCAGCAACGCCGCGUGAGGGAAGAAGGCCUUCGGGUUGUAAACCUCUGUCCUUGGUGACGAAACAAAUGACGGUAGCCAAGGAGGAAGCCCCGGCUAACUACGUGCCAGCCGCCGCGGUAA
Molecule: ribosomal RNA, 481 nt
Filed under: uncultured bacterium
Lineage: Bacteria
Description: partial 16S ribosomal RNA
Rfam family: Bacterial small subunit ribosomal RNA
Source: RNAcentral